RNAcentral lists this ribosomal RNA (513 nucleotides) under uncultured bacterium. RNAcentral describes it as "bacterial SSU rRNA". It matches the Rfam family "Bacterial small subunit ribosomal RNA", at positions 969 to 1486 of the family's 1533-position model. The record is from RNAcentral.
CCUUACCUACUCUUGACAUGCCUGGAAUCCUGUAGAGAUGCGGGAGUGCUCGAAAGAGAGCCAGGACACAGGUGCUGCAUGGCCGUCGUCAGCUCGUGUCGUGAGAUGUUGGGUUAAGUCCCGCAACGAGCGCAACCCUUGUCAUUAGUUGCUACGAAAGGGCACUCUAAUGAGACUGCCGGUGACAAACCGGAGGAAGGUGGGGAUGACGUCAGGUCAUCAUGGCCCUUAUGGGUAGGGCUACACACGUCAUACAAUGGCCGGUACAGAGGGCUGCCAACCCGCGAGGGGGAGCCAAUCCCAGAAAACCGGUCGUAGUCCGGAUCGCAGUCUGCAACUCGACUGCGUGAAGUCGGAAUCGCUAGUAAUCGCGGAUCAGCUUGCCGCGGUGAAUACGUUCCCGGGUCUUGUACACACCGCCCGUCACACCAUGGGAGCGGGUUCUGCCAGAAGUAGUUAGCCUAACCGCAAGGGGGGCGAUUACCACGGCAGGGUUCGUGACUGGGGUGAAGU